This is a long non-coding RNA of Ailuropoda melanoleuca (giant panda), 364 nucleotides long. RefSeq lists it as uncharacterized. The transcript has 3 exons. The record is from RefSeq and is a predicted model, not a curated record. Lineage: Eukaryota; Metazoa; Chordata; Mammalia; Carnivora; Ursidae.
GAACAAGAUGAGCUCUAAACUCUAAAUCAGCCGGUUCUACGCAGAACCAGGAGGAGGAGAAAGGUCCGGAUGUGCCGAGCAUCAAGGUGUUGAAUCAAUGUCAAGGUGUUGAAUGAAUAUCAGGAGUGGAAGAAGGAAGGAGAGGGAGGGGCAAAGGGGGAGAGCCGGAGGCAGCCACCGGGAAGAAGGGAGUGAAGAGUGACAACCAAGCACAAAAAUGGGUCAGAACAGCCUGCCCAAACCCCACCAUCCAAACCCAGUGCAAACGCGGCCCCUCUGCAGAGCCGUCCACCUCUGAGCGCCACCAGCCCCCGGAAGCUGCCUCUUUCCUGAGAAGCCAAGGCCCCUGGCUGAGAUCCUUCUC